This 497-nucleotide ribosomal RNA is filed under the name uncultured bacterium. RNAcentral's name for it is "partial 16S ribosomal RNA". It matches the Rfam family "Bacterial small subunit ribosomal RNA", at positions 28 to 507 of the family's 1533-position model. The record is from RNAcentral.
GAUGAACGCUGGCGGCGUGCCUAAUACAUGCAAGUCGAGCGAACAGACGAGGAGCUUGCUCCUCUGACGUUAGCGGCGGACGGGUGAGUAACACGUGGAUAACCUACCUAUAAGACUGGGAUUACUUCGGGAAACCGGAGCUAAUACCGGAUAAUAUAUUGAACCGCAUGGUUCAAUAGUGAAAGACGGUUUUGCUGUCACUUAUAGAUGGAUCCGCGCCGCAUUAGCUAGUUGGUAAGGUAACGGCUUACCAAGGCGACGAUGCGUAGCCGACCUGAGAGGGUGAUCGGCCACACUGGAACUGAGACACGGUCCAGACUCCUACGGGAGGCAGCAGUAGGGAAUCUUCCGCAAUGGGCGAAAGCCUGACGGAGCAACGCCGCGUGAGUGAUGAAGGUCUUCGGAUCGUAAAACUCUGUUAUUAGGGAAGAACAAAUGUGUAAGUAACUAUGCACGUCUUGACGGUACCUAAUCAGAAAGCCACGGCUAACUACGUG